CGUAAAUUACACUGAUGUUAUUAUGGCGUAAACCAUUUGAACGUAAUGUCUAAGGCACCCUUGAGGAAGAAAUGGGCCCCCAUGGACUGUAGCCCGCCAGGCUCCCUCUAUCCAUGGAAUUUUCUAGCCAGUGUUGGCAAACAUUUUAUGUUUGAGAGAGCUUGGAAGAUCGUGUCCUUGGGCAGCAGUUCCAAACAUGGAGUUACCCAGGGAACGCUUUUAAAUAAUGUAUUCUGAAACUCAGUCCUUGAAGAUUCUGAGGCAAUAGAUCUGAAGUGGAUCUUUAGAACUCAUCUUUUAAAGCUCCCCAGGUGAAGCUAGGACUUGAGGACCUUCCUCAUCUUUUGAAAUUCCCAGGUGGGGCAAGAAUUUGAGGACCAUUGCCCCGGGAUUGCCAGUGCUAUUCUCCUAGUGUUUCCUUUCUAGGCAUGUAUAGGAUCUUCGUUCUGUGACCAGGGAUUGAACCCACACUCUCUGCAUUUGGACCACCAGUGAAGUUUCAACAUAUAUUUAUUUGGUUGUUUAUUGUCUCUCUCCCCAACUAGAAUGCACACUCUGUGGGGGAGGGGUUCUGUCUGUAUCUGUGUCUGUCUGCCUAGCGCUUGGCACCUAGUCAGGGCCCAUUACGUAUGUGU
Molecule: long non-coding RNA, 635 nt
Organism: Bos taurus (domestic cattle)
Lineage: Eukaryota; Metazoa; Chordata; Mammalia; Artiodactyla; Bovidae
Source: Ensembl